RNAcentral lists this ribosomal RNA (253 nucleotides) under uncultured bacterium. RNAcentral's name for it is "partial 16S ribosomal RNA". It matches the Rfam family "Bacterial small subunit ribosomal RNA", at positions 524 to 776 of the family's 1533-position model. The record is from RNAcentral.
UACAGAGGGGGCAAGCGUUGUUCGGAAUUACUGGGCGUAAAGGGCGCGUAGGCGGCCUGCUAAGUCGAACGUGAAAUCCCUGGGCUCAACCCAGGAACUGCGUCCGAUACUGGUUGGCUUGAAUCCGGGAGAGGGACGUGGAAUUCCAGGUGUAGCGGUGAAAUGCGUAGAUAUCUGGAGGAACACCGGUGGCGAAGGCGGGUCUCUGGACAGUUCCUGACGCUGAGGCACGAAGGUCAGGGGAGCAAACGGG